Trichogramma pretiosum is the source of this 482-nucleotide long non-coding RNA. RefSeq lists it as uncharacterized. The transcript has 2 exons. Lineage: Eukaryota; Metazoa; Arthropoda; Insecta; Hymenoptera; Trichogrammatidae. The record is from RefSeq and is a predicted model, not a curated record.
GGCGCUGCAGUGUAUCGUUCAGUCGUAAAAUUCGGUUGUGUUUGUCUGUACAGAUUUCGCGAGGACGAACGAAGGAGAUCGAACAGUAUGGUAUACAGCAUCUUGCAGUGUAGCAUCGACAGCCGUUGGCGAUCGAAGCUUUGUUUGUUUUCGUCAGACCAGCAGUGGUGUGAUAAGUCCACUACGAUUUCUGCUACUUAUACUUUUUGAAGAUGGACUUCAAACAAUUCUUUAUUAUAAUACUUUUGGCCGUUUUGUCGUCUACCGGCCUUAGGUACAGGUUUGCGGAGAACUGGGAAUUCGUUAUAAACCUCAACUUGUUGGGGCUGUAUGGGUUCCGCCGACUUUUUCAAGACAUACGGACUCGCCACUUUCAGUAAAAUCACGUUAAAACAAUUACGAUGUAUACAUGUGAUUAACAAUUAUUCCAUGAAUAAAAUAAGAAGAAAAUAUGAUAUAUAAUAUAACUUUCAAUAAAUAAA